This 409-nucleotide unclassified non-coding RNA is filed under the name uncultured fungus. Its description in RNAcentral is "sequence contains ITS2". The record is from RNAcentral. Lineage: Eukaryota; Fungi.
AACGCAAAUGGCGCUCUCGGGAUAGACCUGGGAGCACGCCUCUCUGAGUAUCGGUUCAACCAUCACUCGUCUGCGUACUGUGUAAAAGCAGUACUCAUGUACGGAAAAUGAGAGUCCAAGCAGAACUGCUUCGUCUCUUGAAAUAUAUUGAGCUUCGAUCUCCUAGUACUGUGUUCUUCGGAACACUAGCCAGUGUGGCUUUUAUUCAACUAGUGACGUGGAUAACAUCACGUAGUGAUACGAAACGUCGUAGCUUGUUGAGUAAUAUAACCAGUUACAUUGUGCGAAUCGAUUAGGACGAACGAUAGCGUUUGAAUUGAUCCCGUAUUGUAUGUGUGUACUUCGGUACAUGUGUCUAUACGUAUUGACAUUAGAUCUCAGAUGAAGCGAGAAGACCCCCUGAAUUUAA